Molecule: ribosomal RNA, 468 nt
Filed under: uncultured bacterium
Lineage: Bacteria
Description: partial 16S ribosomal RNA
Rfam family: Bacterial small subunit ribosomal RNA
Source: RNAcentral
GACGAACGCUGGCGGCGUGCUUAACACAUGCAAGUCGAACGCUAAGGCUUUGCUUUUGCGCUGUGCUCGUGUGUCGAACACGUGAGUAACAUGUGUGUAUCCUGUCCUCUACUUUCUGAUAUCUUCCUGGAACUGUGGCUCUUGUCCUGUAUAAGCUCUUUCUCCAUGUGGUGGUUUGUGAAGUUUCGUUGGUUGGGGAUGGAUUCGCGGCCUAUCAGCUUGUUGGUUGGGUAGUGGCUUACCAAGGCUUUGACGGGUAGCCGGCCUGAGAGGGUGACCGGCCACACUGGGACUGAGAUACGGCCCAGACUCCUACGGGAGGCAGCAGUGGGGAAUAUUGCACAAUGGGCGGAAGCCUGAUGCAGCAACGCCGCGUGAGGGAUGACGGCCUUCGGGUUGUAAACCGCUUUCGCCAGGGAAGAAGCGAAAGUGACGGUAAUGGGUGAAGAAGCGCCGGCUAACUACGUG